Molecule: ribosomal RNA, 533 nt
Filed under: uncultured archaeon
Lineage: Archaea
Description: bacterial SSU rRNA
Rfam family: Archaeal small subunit ribosomal RNA
Source: RNAcentral
AACCUUUACAAUGCACGCAAGUGUGAUAAGGGGAUCCUAAGUGCUCAUACAUUGUAUGGGCUUUUGUUAAGAGUAAAUAUCUUAGCGAAUAAGUGGUGGGUAAGACUGGUGCCAGCCGCCGCGGUAACACCAGCGCCACAAGUGGCAACCACGUUUAUUGGGCCUAAAGCGUCCGUAGCCGGUUUGGUAAAUCUCUUGUGAAAUCGACAAGCUCAACUUGUCGGCGUGCUUGAGACACUACCAAACUCGAGACCGGGAGGAGUCAGAGGUAUUCCAGGGGGAGCGGUAAAAUGUGAUAAUCCUUGGAGGACCAUCUAUGGCGAAGGCAUCUGACCAGAACGGAUCUGACGGUGAGGGACGAAGGCUAGGGGAGCGAUCCGGAUUAGAUACCCGAGUAGUCCUAGCAGUAAACGCUGUGAGCAAGAUGUUACGCAUCUCUUGAGGAUGCGUAGUGUCGAAAUGAAGAUGUUAAGCUCACCGCCUGGGAAGUACGGUCGCAAGACUGAAACUUUAAGGAAUUGGCGGGGGAGCAC